This 684-nucleotide long non-coding RNA is filed under the name Pan troglodytes (chimpanzee). RNAcentral describes it as "lincRNA". The record is from RNAcentral. Lineage: Eukaryota; Metazoa; Chordata; Mammalia; Primates; Hominidae.
GGCGGGGCCGAGUCCAGGCAGGAAUCGGAGUGCCGUAGUACAAUCACAGCUCACUGCAGCCUCAAACUCCUGGGUUCCAGUGAUCCUCCCACCUCAGCCUCCCCAGUAGCUGGGGCUACGGCCCAGUAAAGGCACCAUUCCCCAUUUUACAGCUUGGGAAUCUGAGUUACAGAGCUUGUCUGCACUGAGUCAACAGGAGCAAAUGCUAGAUCAGGUCUAGCUGCAGUACAGUGAUGCAGUCAUAGCCCACUGCAGCCUCAAAUUCCUGGGCUCAAGCAAUCCACCCACAUCAGCUUCCCAAGUAGUUGGGACUACAGGCCCACACUACUAUGCCCAGGAUCUCUCUCUCUCUGCCACCCAGGCCAGAGCGCAGUUGAUGCAGGGCAGGGGAGCCCCGCAGUGGAGCAUAGUGUGUCCAGAACUGGUGGGUUCUUGGUCUCACUGACUUCAAGAAUGAAGCCACGGACCCUCGCGGUGAGCGUCACAGUUCUUAAAGGCGGUGCGUCCGGAGUUUUUUCCUUCUGAUGCUCGGAUGUGUUCAGAGUUUCUUCCUUCUGGUGGGUUCCUGGUCUCGCUGGCUUCAGGAGUGAAGCUGCAGACCUUCAAGGCUGCAGUGCAAUGGUGCAAUCUUGGCUCGCUGCAACCUCUGCCUUCUGGAUUAAAGCAAUUCUCCUGCCUCAGCCU